Molecule: ribosomal RNA, 532 nt
Filed under: Scinax eurydice
Lineage: Eukaryota; Metazoa; Chordata; Amphibia; Anura; Hylidae
Description: partial 16S ribosomal RNA
Rfam family: Bacterial large subunit ribosomal RNA
Source: RNAcentral
GUUCAACGGCCGCGGUAUCCUAACCGUGCGAAGGUAGCGUAAUCACUUGUUCUUUAAAUGGGGACUAGUAUGAACGGCAUCACGAGGGUUAUGCUGUCUCCUUUUUCUAAUCAGUGAAACUAAUCUCCCCGUGAAGAAGCGGGGAUUAACCUAUAAGACGAGAAGACCCUAUGGAGCUUUAAACUUCUCUUCAAGUGCCAAGCUAUUUUAUCAAGUCACAGACCCCCUCCACAAUAAACCCCCGGCACUAUGGAGAUGACUUUUAGGUUGGGGUGACCGCGGAGCACAAAAAAACCUCCACGCUGAACAGGCCUCAAAACCUUGAGAUUAGGGCUACAACCCGACUCACUAAAAAAUUAACACUUAUUGACCCAAUAACAAUUGAUCAACGAACCAAGUUACCCUAGGGAUAACAGCGCAAUCCACUUCAAGAGUCCCUAUCGACAAGUGGGUUUACGACCUCGAUGUUGGAUCAGGGUAUCCCAGUGGUGCAGCCGCUACUAAUGGUUCGUUUGUUCAACGAUUAAAACCC